GUUGGGUAGGGGAGCGUUCUGUAAGCCUGUGAAGGUGGCCUGUGAGGGUUGCUGGAGGUAUCAGAAGUGCGAAUGCUGACAUAAGUAACGAUAAAGCGGGUGAAAAGCCCGCUCGCCGGAAGACCAAGGGUUCCUGUCCAACGUUAAUCGGGGCAGGGUGAGUCGACCCCUAAGGCGAGGCCGAAAGGCGUAGUCGAUGGGAAACGGGUUAAUAUUCCCGUACUUGGUGUUACUGCGAAGGGGGGACGGAGAAGGCUAUGUUGGCCGGGCGACGGUUGUCCCGGUUUAAGCGUGUAGGUGUGUGUUCCAGGUAAAUCCGGUUCACUUUAACACUGAGGCGUGAUGACGAGGCACUACGGUGCUGAAGUAACAAAUGCCCUGCUUCCAGGAAAAGCCUCUAAGCAUCAGGUAACAUCAAAUCGUACCCCAAACCGACACAGGUGGUCAGGUAGAGAAUACCAAGGCGCUUGAGAGAACUCGGGUGAAGGAACUAGGCAAAAUGGUGCCGUAACUUCGGGAGAAGGCACGCUGACACGUAGGUGAAGUGAUUUACUCAUGGAGCUGAAGUCAGUCGAAGAUACCAGCUGGCUGCAACUGUUUAUUAAAAACACAGCACUGUGCAAACACGAAAGUGGACGUAUACGGUGUGACGCCUGCCCGGUGCCGGAAGGUUAAUUGAUGGGGUCAGCGCAAGCGAAGCUCCUGAUCGAAGCCCCGGUAAACGGCGGCCGUAACUAUAACGGUCCUAAGGUAGCGAAAUUCCUUGUCGGGUAAGUUCCGACCUGCACGAAUGGCGUAAUGAUGGCCAGGCUGUCUCCACCCGAGACUCAGUGAAAUUGAACUCGCUGUGAAGAUGCAGUGUACCCGCGGCAAGACGGAAAGACCCCGUGAACCUUUACUAUAGCUUGACACUGAACAUUGAGCCUUGAUGUGUAGGAUAGGUGGGAGGCUUUGAAGUGUGGACGCCAGUCUGCAUGGAGCCGACCUUGAAAUACCACCCUUUAAUGUUUGAUGUUCUAACGUGGACCCGUUACCCGGGUUGCGGACAGUGUCUGGUGGGUAGUUUGACUGGGGCGGUCUCCUCCUAAAGAGUAACGGAGGAGCACGAAGGUUGGCUAAUCCUGGUCGGACAUCAGGAGGUUAGUGCAAUGGCAUAAGCCAGCUUGACUGCGAGCGUGACGGCGCGAGCAGGUGCGAAAGCAGGUCAUAGUGAUCCGGUGGUUCUGAAUGGAAGGGCCAUCGCUCAACGGAUAAAAGGUACUCCGGGGAUAACAGGCUGAUACCGCCCAAGAGUUCAUAUCGACGGCGGUGUUUGGCACCUCGAUGUCGGCUCAUCACAUCCUGGGGCUGAAGUAGGUCCCAAGGGUAUGGCUGUUCGCCAUUUAAAGUGGUACGCGAGCUGGGUUUAGAACGUCGUGAGACAGUUCGGUCCCUAUCUGCCGUGGGCGCUGGAGAACUGAGGGGGGCUGCUCCUAGUACGAGAGGACCGGAGUGGACGCAUCACUGGUGUUCGGGUUGUCAUGCCAAUGGCACUGCCCGGUAGCUAAAUGCGGAAGAGAUAAGUGCUGAAAGCAUCUAAGCACGAAACUUGCCCCGAGAUGAGUUCUCCCUGAGACUU
RNAcentral lists this ribosomal RNA (1618 nucleotides) under Salmonella enterica subsp. enterica serovar Dublin. RNAcentral's name for it is "bacterial LSU rRNA". It matches the Rfam family "Bacterial large subunit ribosomal RNA", at positions 1223 to 2823 of the family's 2925-position model. Lineage: Bacteria; Pseudomonadati; Pseudomonadota; Gammaproteobacteria; Enterobacterales; Enterobacteriaceae. The record is from RNAcentral.